CUACGUGCCAGCAGCCGCGGUAAUACAGAGGGUGCAAGCGUUAAUCGGAAUUACUGGGCGUAAAGCGAGCGUAGGUGGUCAUUUAAGUCAGAUGUGAAAUCCCCGGGCUUAACCUGGGAACUGCAUCUGAUACUGGGUGACUAGAGUAGGUGAGAGGGAAGUAGAAUUCCAGGUGUAGCGGUGAAAUGCGUAGAGAUCUGGAGGAAUACCGAUGGCGAAGGCAGCUUCCUGGCAUCAUACUGACACUGAGGCUCGAAAGCGUGGGUAGCAAACAGGAUUAGAUACCCUGGUAGUCCACGCCGUAAACGAUGUCUACCAGUCGUUGGGUCUCUUGAAGACUUAGUGACGCAGUUAACGCGAUAAGUAGACCGCCUGGGGAGUACGGCCGCAAGGUUAAAACUCAAAUGAAUUGACGGGGGCCCGCACAAGCGGUGGAGCAUGUGGUUUAAUUCGAUGCAACGCGAAGAACCUUACCUACUCUUGAC
This 485-nucleotide ribosomal RNA is filed under the name uncultured bacterium. Its description in RNAcentral is "bacterial SSU rRNA". It matches the Rfam family "Bacterial small subunit ribosomal RNA", at positions 501 to 985 of the family's 1533-position model. The record is from RNAcentral.